This 275-nucleotide RNase P RNA is filed under the name Lachnoanaerobaculum saburreum DSM 3986. Its description in RNAcentral is "Bacterial RNase P class A". It matches the Rfam family "Bacterial RNase P class A", at positions 43 to 351 of the family's 367-position model. From Rfam's summary of the family: Ribonuclease P (RNase P) is a ubiquitous endoribonuclease, found in archaea, bacteria and eukarya as well as chloroplasts and mitochondria. Its best characterised activity is the generation of mature 5'-ends of tRNAs by cleaving the 5'-leader elements of precursor-tRNAs. Cellular RNase Ps are ribonucleoproteins. RNAcentral also lists the same sequence under 1 other name. Lineage: Bacteria; Bacillati; Bacillota; Clostridia; Lachnospirales; Lachnospiraceae. The record is from RNAcentral.
GAGGAAAGUCCGGGCUUUAUAGGGCAGGAUGCCGGAUAACAUCCGGUAGAGGCGACUCUAAGGAAAGUGCAACAGAAAAUAACCGCCGAAAGGUAAGGGUGAAAAGGUGGUGUAAGAGACCACCGCUUGUAUGGUAACAUAAAAGGCAGUGUAAACCCCAUCCGAAGCAAGACCGAAGCGAAUAGGGCUGCCCGUCCGAUAUUCAGGUAGGUUGCUAGAGCCUUGUGGUAACAUAAGGACCAGAUAGAUGACCGUUUAAUACAUAACCCGGCUUA